This 813-nucleotide long non-coding RNA is filed under the name Sus scrofa (pig). RNAcentral describes it as "lncRNA (ENSSSCG00070011793.1)". Lineage: Eukaryota; Metazoa; Chordata; Mammalia; Artiodactyla; Suidae. The record is from RNAcentral.
GAAGGUAUCUCAAGGUUUCACCCGACAUGCUUCUUUCUGUGAGAACUGCCUCUGUCUCACGGGCUGGGGUGGCAUCCGAACAAUUUCCAAAGGGCGAGUGGAGUUGAUUUUUCACCCUGUACUUUAUUGGGAAGUUUUGGUUGACUUGGGGAGCUGGUGUGAACAGGAACCAGAGGCACUCCGGAGGUUGCCUGGAUUGGGGAGGGGUGGGUGAGUGCACUUGCGCGCGCGUGCGUUUGUGUGUGUGUGUGUGUGUGUGUGCGGUGUAGGGAGGCGGGGGGCGGGGGUGAGGGCCUGGGGCGGGGGCGGGGCGCGGCUCCGUGUUAAGCAGCACCGUGGCGGUUCCACGCUGAGUGCAGCGUGCUCGGCUCUCUCGUUGCAGGGUGUCAGGCAGAGUGGAAGGAGAGGAGGAGAAGGGAAGUCGGGGACGUCGGUCAUGUCUAGGCGCUGGUGUUCUGGGGUGUCAGGCAGAGUGGAAGGAGAGGAGGAGAAGGGAAGUCGGGGACGUCGGUCAUGUCUAGGCGCUGGUGUUCUGGGGUGUCAGGCAGAGUGGAAGGAGAGGAGGAGAAGGGAAGUCGGGGACGUCGGUCAUGUCUAGGCGCUGGUGUUCUGGGUGAGUGAGUGCCCUUUGUUCUCUUCCUUCUCCUCUUCCAAAAGGGUUCAUUUCAUCACAGGAAAAGGUCAGUGGUUCUGGUGGUUCAGCAAGCCUCAAGAAGGGGAGACUCCCAAGGUAGGUCCGUGGCACGGGGCCACCGGCGUACCGUGCCGGAGUUUUCCGGCUUGAUAGCAGAGGCUCUCGGGCCAGGUCCCGCU